RNAcentral lists this ribosomal RNA (468 nucleotides) under uncultured bacterium. Its description in RNAcentral is "partial 16S ribosomal RNA". It matches the Rfam family "Bacterial small subunit ribosomal RNA", at positions 28 to 507 of the family's 1533-position model. The record is from RNAcentral.
GACGAACGCUGGCGGCGUGCUUAACACAUGCAAGUCGAACGGAAAGGCCCUGCUUUUGUUGGGUGCUCGAGUGGCGAACGGGUGAGUAACACGUGAGUAACCUGCCCUUGACUUUGUGAUAACUUCAGGAAACUGGGGCUAAUACCGGAUAGGAGCUCCUGCUGCAUGUGGGGGGUUGGAAAGUUUCGGCGGUUGUGGAUGGACUCGCGGCUUAUCAGCUUGUUGGUGUGGUAGUGGCUUACCAAGGCUUUGACGGGUAGCCGGCCUGAGAGGGUUACCGGCCACAUUGGGACUGAGAUACGGACCAGACUCGUACGGGAGGCAGCAGUGGGGAAUAUUGCACAAUGGGCGGAAGCCUGAUGCAGCAACGCCGCGUGCGGGAUGACGGCCUUCGGGUUGUAAACCGCUUUCGCCUGUGACGAAGCGUGAGUGACGGUAAUGGGUAAAGAAGCAACGGCUAACUACGUG